AGAGUUUGAUCCUGGCUCAGGAUGAACGCUAGCUACAGGCUUAACACAUGCAAGUCGAGGGGCAGCAUUUCAGUUUGCUUGCAAACUGGAGAUGGCGACCGGCGCACGGGUGAGUAACACGUAUCCAACCUGCCGAUAACUCGGGGAUAGCCUUUCGAAAGAAAGAUUAAUACCCGAUGGUAUAAUUAGACCGCAUGGUCUUAUUAUUAAAGAAUUUCGGUUAUCGAUGGGGAUGCGUUCCAUUAGGCAGUUGGUGAGGUAACGGCUCACCAAACCUUCGAUGGAUAGGGGUUCUGAGAGGAAGGUCCCCCACAUUGGAACUGAGACACGGUCCAAACUCCUACGGGAGGCAGCAGUGAGGAAUAUUGGUCAAUGGGCGCAGGCCUGAACCAGCCAAGUAGCGUGAAGGAUGACUGCCCUAUGGGUUGUAAACUUCUUUUAUAUGGGAAUAAAGUUUUCCACGUGUGGAAUUUUGUAUGUACCAUAUGAAUAAG
RNAcentral lists this ribosomal RNA (494 nucleotides) under Bacteroides thetaiotaomicron. RNAcentral describes it as "bacterial SSU rRNA". It matches the Rfam family "Bacterial small subunit ribosomal RNA", at positions 8 to 490 of the family's 1533-position model. Lineage: Bacteria; Pseudomonadati; Bacteroidota; Bacteroidia; Bacteroidales; Bacteroidaceae. The record is from RNAcentral.